This is a long non-coding RNA of Crotalus tigris (Tiger rattlesnake), 3013 nucleotides long. RefSeq lists it as uncharacterized. Lineage: Eukaryota; Metazoa; Chordata; Lepidosauria; Squamata; Viperidae. The record is from RefSeq and is a predicted model, not a curated record. The transcript has 2 exons.
UUAGAGUUUCUGCAAAGACUUCUCUGGUUCAGCAUGCUAAUGACAACAAACGUUCCCAGGAAACAGAGAGUAUCAAUGAUGGCUAUCUGAUAUUUGAUCCCAGUCAAAAGCCCCAUUAGAUUGUGGAAGGCUUUUAUAUUUUAUGUUUAUAUAAUAUAAUUGCUAGAUCUGUCUUUGUCAUUAACAUUUGCUUAGCAAUCAGAGCCACAUAAAGUCAUGACCACAACUGCAUUUCAUGGCAAAGGAUUCUUAAUACAGCGUCCUGCGUUUGGAAGAGAAAAAAAAAAAAAAUCCCAAGCCAACUUCAAAAUGAAUUGAAGCACCACAUUAGUACAGUGUAUUAAAAUACAUACAUUUUUAAUAUAAAGACAAACUUCAAAGCCAUUUUUCUUUCAUUUACAAAUCAAAGUGAAGUGUGGGAAGAUUCAAAGAGAAGAUUAGAAUGGAAAUUCUAGAACUGGAAAGAUCAGAAGAGUGGAAAAUAUAUAGAUAAGCUUAUUAUUACAUACAUAUAUAUACACAUGCCAGAAUUUUUCAUGGGACUUUUAUGGAAGAAUGGCAGAUAAAACUUAAGGAGCAAAAGUUUAAAAAACAAGACGAGACAAAGAUACAGUGGACUAGGAUUAUCCUAUCUGGACUGCAAGGCUCUGGACAGCCACUAGAGGGCAGCAAGGAGAUUUCUGCAUCUUUGCCAUCAUCUGGUUCUUUGCAGCUCAGACCUCUGUAGUCCUACCACAGCGGAAAAUUUGAUUUUUAAAUAAAUGUCAUGUUCAUGGGCUAAUGUAUACAAAUCAAUUCCUAGACCCUAGGAAAAAAAACAUCCCAUAUUGCCACCUUUUAAGAAAAUGGAUACUCUCUUCAAUCCAUUUUACAAAUGGAUUUUAUAUAAUUUUUUUUUACUAUUUUACAAAUGAAUUCCUGAGCAGCAGCAAUUUCCAUUACUGACUGAAGUUCCCCUUCAACUCCAACACAGACUUCCGUUCCAUUCUGCAGAGAAUAUAUCCAAAAGGCUCAAAAAUGCAAAACGCUGACACGAGUCACCAGACUAGGCUUGUCUUACCCAUCUUUUUUUUCCUCUUUUUUUUUAAAAACAAGAAAAGAAAAAAACCCUAGAAAGUUAAAAGUUAGCAAGGGUAAUCUUUGAAUACCUGCAGCAUGACCUAGGUGAGGGUGGGGGUGGGGUAGGAGAGAAGCAUGUGGGAGAAAAUAAAUUAAAAAUUGAAAAUCCCCCCCCCCUAUUAAGUUUCUGAAAUUUGCAGGGGACCAUACUUCAGCUUGAACCAGGCAUUUGAAAAGGCUGCCACCCUGGAAUCCAGAGAGUCCCCCUAAACUUGGGUUACUCUCCCCAUAUCCCCAAAUUAUUUACUGGAUAUUAUAAACUGCAACUCUUGUGAACUUCGGGCAAGAUUUUUAAAAGAUCUCCCUGGAUAUUAAGGAUCCACACAAGCUAAUUUGGAAACUUUGGGGAUGAAAUCUUAAAUGUUUAACCUCCUGCAUGAAAAAGACCAGAUCAGAUUCCUCGGUGAAAGUUCUGCUCCAUCAUCUGUAGGUCCCUGCAAUAGAUAAUAUCUCUCGGGAGAACACACGCCAUUCCCUCAGUUCUCUUAACUGCCAAACAAUUAUGUCCCUCAAAUGCAAGUUUCUCUGAUUUUUGCUGCUGUGAUAGCACACAUGAAUUUACACAACAUCCCCUCCCCAAACGUUCCAAUUUCAUCCCAUUGCGGACAAUUAUUUCAUUCGCUGAUUUUGGGCUCUGAGCAUAAAUUUAAAAAAAAAUGCUUACAUAUCAGGCCAAAGAGAAGAUGCAAGGUAGUCAAGAUAUUUCAAGGCAGACGAAGGGAAGCAAAAGACAUGAAACGGUUAUACGUAUUUCAAGACUGCACGCUUCCCAGUACACAGAUGAAAGAGGUGCCAUCAAGACACUCAGCACUGAUAAAGCCACAUUUCAUUAAUCAAUCCAGGACAAGAACCUUACACAAGAACAAACAACAAACAAGAUUAUCUAUAACAGUGACAGAUUGGCUGUACCUGUUCUUGGAAGAAACUAAGAAGAAACAUGGAUAAGACAGAUCCCAGGCUGGCCUGAGAAAGCACCCAGAUUAAUAGCACCAUAACCUCUGUUGAAAUGGGGUUGGGCUGAAUGUUUGCACUUGUUCUCCUGAAAAUGUAACUGCGGGAAAUACAGGCAGUGAUUUUCUAAUCAGCUUAAAAUUAAUUUUCUGUGCAUUUAUAGGUUGAAAAAUACUUAGCAGGUAAGAUCUGGUUUCCUUCUUUAGCUGCAUGCAGGAUGCAGCUGAGAUUGGAUACAUGCAGGAAUAAUACCCACAAAACUCAGCAAGCACUGAAGUGCCUAGGAAGGAAUAUGGCUAGUUCACUCCACUUAAACAUCCCAGCUGACCCAGAAAUGUUCCAAGGAGUUCUUAGCCAUUAAUUUUCUUCUCAGCCAGGACAAACUCCACGUCGAAAAGGGCACAAGUUUUAUUUCCCGAUACCCAGUAGUGCAAAGAACUGAUUGGAGUACCACAGAGCAGGGAUUGCUCUCGGCCUCAGAAAUAGUGAGAUAAUCAAGUGCUCAGCCACGUAGCUGGAGAGAACGUUUCACAACAGUGAGGCUUCAUCAAUCCAACUUCUGGCAUUAUGCAUUUUUUACACCUGAACAGCACCAACAAGAAAUUAAAUGCUCAUCGUGGAAUAAGGCAGACUGCUUGGGGGAGAUAGAUAGCUUCAUAGCCCCCUCUUCUGGAAUCUUGCUCGUCCAAAGACAAACAUUUACGUAAUAGGUGCUCUAUUAAAAUCAAUUUCAUUGAAAUGUGUAUUUAGAUCAGCGCACCCAUUAUUUUUUUAAAAAAAUUAACCAUAUGCUGUGUUAUUCUGUAGCUCAAAUAUAUUCUGAACAGGUUCCUAAUCCAUGGCCCCUUAUUUAAACUUUUCAGGGGAAGGCAACAGAACAACAAAAUUGGGGAUUUAUUAGGCUUUCUAAGAUAGAUAGGGGACGAAAAAUAGAAAAAAAAAA